This 776-nucleotide ribosomal RNA is filed under the name Salmonella enterica. RNAcentral describes it as "partial 23S ribosomal RNA". It matches the Rfam family "Bacterial large subunit ribosomal RNA", at positions 514 to 1190 of the family's 2925-position model. The record is from RNAcentral. RNAcentral also lists the same sequence under 1 other name. Lineage: Bacteria; Pseudomonadati; Pseudomonadota; Gammaproteobacteria; Enterobacterales; Enterobacteriaceae.
GCGAAAAGAACCCCGGCGAGGGGAGUGAAAAAGAACCUGAAACCGUGUACGUACAAGCAGUGGGAGCCCCACCACUAAGCCAGUGGUGAACUCCACAUACGCAUCCUUUGCUGAGGAUACGGUUAACGGAGCGAAAGCGACGUUCAACCGCAAAAGAAGCAGAGGGGGCUUAGUGGUGGGGUGACUGCGUACCUUUUGUAUAAUGGGUCAGCGACUUAUAUUCUGUAGCAAGGUUAACCGAAUAGGGGAGCCGGAGGGAAACCGAGUCUUAACCGGGCGUUAAGUUGCAGGGUAUAGACCCGAAACCCGGUGAUCUAGCCAUGGGCAGGUUGAAGGUUGGGUAACACUAACUGGAGGACCGAACCGACUAAUGUUGAAAAAUUAGCGGAUGACCUGUGGCUGGGGGUGAAAGGCCAAUCAAACCGGGAGAUAGCUGGUUCUCCCCGAAAGCUAUUUAGGUAGCGCCUCGUGAAUUCAUCUCCGGGGGUAGAGCACUGUUUCGGCUAGGGGGCCAUCCCGGCUUACCAACCCGAUGCAAACUGCGAAUACCGGAGAAUGUUAUCACGGGAGACACACGGCGGGUGCUAACGUCCGUCGUGAAGAGGGAAACAACCCAGACCGCCAGCUAAGGUCCCAAAGUCAUGGUUAAGUGGGAAACGAUGUGGGAAGGCCCAGACAGCCAGGAUGUUGGCUUAGAAGCAGCCAUCAUUUAAAGAAAGCGUAAUAGCUCACUGGUCGAGUCGGCCUGCGCGGAAGAUGUAACGGGGCUAAACCAU